Hippocampus zosterae (dwarf seahorse) is the source of this 789-nucleotide long non-coding RNA. RefSeq lists it as uncharacterized. The record is from RefSeq and is a predicted model, not a curated record. Lineage: Eukaryota; Metazoa; Chordata; Actinopteri; Syngnathiformes; Syngnathidae. The transcript has 3 exons.
GAUGCUCAUCCAAAAAAUUCAAUAUCAUGAAAAUGUUGAUUUAUUUCAGUAACACAAUUUAAAAAGUGAAACUUGUGUUAUGCCUACAUUAAUUUCACACAAACAGAUCCAUUUCAAGUGUUCAUCCAUUUAAUUUCGAUGAAUAUAUCUAAAAACUAAAUAAAAAACAAUUAAACUGUAAUAAAAUAAUUGAGUCAACAUGCUCAUCAAACACAAUUUUACAUCAGCAAUAAAACGACAUCUCUCAAUUCCCACUGCAUGUCCGUUCGAAUGUGAGCCAGCUUCUUUAGACAACAAAGCUGUAUUGAAUGUACAUGGGUCGACAAAGUGCAGAACUUGUUCUGAUGGUGAGUGACUUUCAGGUCUCCGGGCGUGCGGUGCUUUAUGAGCAAGGUAAAGUAUUUGGCUGUCAAACCGAAUUCAAAGCAACGAAGACAGCUGUGAUUUGGAUCUCUAAACCACUGGAAACUUGAUUUUUAUUUCAUUUAUUUUAAACAUGCAUAGGCUGUGUCAUUUGAUAGUCAUUUCACUGAUCAGCUGAAUGCAAUGUUUUCUGACAUUUGGCUGGAAAUGUGCACCAUACAGUUCGGAGAGAGGAGUGCAUAUACGGUGAUGAAAUGUAUUUUGAAAGCACACAGUAGUUUCAUCUAAUAUGUUGCGUUACUUCGUUGCUGAGAAGUGUUAUUUUGGCCACAUAAUCUGAGUGAAGUGACUUGAAGGCGGCGUAACUGCAAAUCAAUCGCUAAUUUGACCAGCCGCAAUAAUAAGAGCAACAUGAUCUGGAAAUGU